GACGUAGGUUGCGAGCGUUAUUCGGAUUCACUAGGCGUAAAGCGUGUGUAGGCGGAUGCCUAAGUCUGACGUGAAAUCUCCCGGCUUAACUGGGAGGGGUCGUUAGAUACUGGGUGUCUUGAGUUGGGUAGGGGGAACCGGAAUUCCAGGUGUAGCGGUGAAAUGCGCAGAUAUCUGGAAGAACACCCGUGGCGAAGGCGGCUCUCUGGGACGGUACUGACGCUGAGACGCGAAAGCGUGGGGAGCGAACAGG
This 253-nucleotide ribosomal RNA is filed under the name uncultured bacterium. RNAcentral describes it as "partial 16S ribosomal RNA". It matches the Rfam family "Bacterial small subunit ribosomal RNA", at positions 524 to 776 of the family's 1533-position model. The record is from RNAcentral.